Molecule: long non-coding RNA, 2610 nt
Organism: Acanthochromis polyacanthus (spiny chromis)
Lineage: Eukaryota; Metazoa; Chordata; Actinopteri; Pomacentridae
Exons: 2
Source: RefSeq, a predicted model, not a curated record
GUUCAAAAAUUUCCCAACAAUGUUGAAAAUGUGGAAAUUUUCACUGUGAAAAUGUUUGGGUUUUUUUUCAACAUUUUCAAACAUUAAAACGGGUCCGUUUGACCUGCAGGACGAAACAAGGGUUAAAAAAUGCUCCAUGAAAUUUGAAUUUUUUUGUCUGAACUGAACCAAAAAUCAAACAAAACACAUCAAAGUUGUUGAAAUUACCUUGAAAUCUUCCCAAAAUGUCUCAAAAUAUGACAAAAAUGAGAAAACUUGUCCUACAAAAGUUAGAAUUUAAUCAAAAUGACUAAAAAUCAUCUGAUCUGAGCCAGAAACCAACCAGAACACCUCCAGUUCUUCAAAUCAAUCUGCCUUUAAUAACAGAAAGCUUCUUUCUCAGAGUGAAUCAGUGACUCGUCCUCUUUUCUUUGUUCCAGAGGAAGCAGUGAGUCUGAGACGGCGACACAAUGAGGCACAAACACACAAAAACACACAAACAUGAACAUAAAUACACACAAAUAAAUACACAAAAACACACAAACAUGAACAUAUUUACACAAAACACACAAACAUGAACAUAAAUACACACAAAAACACACAAACAUGAACAUAAAUACAUACAAAAACACACAAACAUGAACAUAAAUAUACGCAAAAACACACAAACAUGAACAUAAAUAUACGCAAAAACACACAAACAUGAACAUAAAUAUACGCAAAAACACAAACAUGAACAUAAAUAUACGCAAAAACACACAAACAUGAACAUAUUUACACAAACACACAAACAUGAACAAAAAUACACAAAAAACAUGAACAAAAAUACACACAAACAUGAACAUAAAUACACACAAAAACACACAAACAUGAACAUAAAUAUACGCAAAAACACACAAACAUGAACAUAUUUACACAAAAACACACAAACAUGAACAAAAAUACACACACAAACACAAACAUGAACAUAUUUACACUUAAACAUGAACAAAAAUACACACAAAAACACAAACAUGAACACAAAAACACACAAACAUGAACACAAAAACACUCAAACAUGAACACAAAAACACUCAAACAUGAACACAAAAACACUCAAACAUGAACACAAAAACACACAAACAUGAACACAAAAACACUCAAACAUGAACACAAAAACACUCAAACAUGAACACAAAAACACACUUAAACACGUGUAAACAUGAACACAUCUCCUCAUCUGUGAACAAACUGCAGCUCCACUCUGUUUCCUGGUUCUCGGGUUCUCAGGUUCUCAGGUUCUCAGGUUCUCAGGUUCAGGUGUUUCUCCGUCGGCUCUGAGCUGAUUUCUGACUUUAUUUCCUGCUUUCUAUUUAUUCUGACACCUGGAGGCCGUUCACAUCCACCACUUCCUGCACGGAUUAAAAUCAAAGCGAAGUUUAACCUGAAACUCAGUGAAUAUUUUCAAAAUACUUAAUUUUGGUAAUUUUUCUGAAUGCGACGUGUAGAAAUGAAAGGAUUUUAAUGGAUUAUCACAUUUUUUAGUGUAAAUUUGCUGAAAUUGACAUAAAAACUCUCCGAUUUUUUGCCACAUGAAGUUUUCACGUUGUCUUUCUCGUCAUUUUCCGCCUCUUUUCUGUGAUUUCUAUUUUUAUUUUUGUUGUUUUAUUAAUUAUUUAUCGUUUUGUAGUCUUGAAUAUUCAGCCGUCAUCCUCAGAAUCCGUCUCUGAACUUUUUUAAGGACUGAUUUUUGUGUGUUUUUAUGAUUUCCUGAUUGAUGUGAUUCAAGGAAAAUGACUCAAACCGUCACCAAUCAACCCAGAGAAAGCAGAAAUGUUUGUUUUAUUCUGUAUUUCGGAAUAUUCUACGCUUGAUUUCUGAUUUUUCUGAUUUUUUUUUGUUAAAUCAAACCUUUCUUAAUGUGUUUUCUGUCAUGAUUUAUCUAAAUUUGAUGUUUUACUGCAGCUUCACUGCACUGAAACGGUUUAAUAAUUUAUUAUUUAGACCUUCAAAUAUAAGAAUAAAUCUGCUUUUCGACGUCCACGGGUAUUUGAAAGGUUUUCAGGACAGAAUCUUUUUUUCAGACUUAAAGAAAAGCCAAUAAAGUGCGAUUCUGAUCCUGUUUGAUUCUAAAAGCAGAUUUAAACGGCUGAACAUCAAAGAUAUUUUAGUUUUAUCUCCUAAAAAUGUGACAUAAUUUGCUUAAAAAAAAGAAGAAAAAUGAAGAAAUAAAAGACUGAAAUAUAGAAGAAGCUGCGGCUGAAUGUCCUGUUUUAUUUCAAUUUGACUGGAAAAUGUUUGUUUUUAUUUCAUUUAAUUUAUUUUAAUACUAAAUCAAUAUGAUUCCAAUUUUUAUUUUCAUGUUUUAUUUUAAAUAUUAUGAUUUUAUUUUUUUAUUAUUUUCACCUGUUUUUUUAUUUAUUUAUGAUCAUUUCAUUGUUUUUUAUUUCAUUUAAUUUAUUUUUAAUACUAAAUCAAUGUGAUUCAAAUUUUUAAUUGUCAUGUUUUAUUUUAAAUGUUAAUUCAAUAUUAUUUUAAUCUUUUUUAAAUUUAUGAUCAUUUCACUUUUUUUUUCAUUCUUACUUUAAAUAUCAGAACAAACUGUUUCUGUAGCAGCUGGUUGUUGAAUAUAAUAAAUUUCUCUUUAAAUCA